Molecule: ribosomal RNA, 483 nt
Filed under: uncultured bacterium
Lineage: Bacteria
Description: partial 16S ribosomal RNA
Rfam family: Bacterial small subunit ribosomal RNA
Source: RNAcentral
GACGAACGCUGGCGGCGUGCCUAACACAUGCAAGUCGAACGCUGAAGCUCAGCUUUUGUUGGGUGGAUGAGUGGCGAACGGGUGAGUAACACGUGAGUAACCUGCCCCCUUCUUUGGGAUAACGCCCGGAAACGGGUGCUAAUACUGGAUAUUCACUGGUCUUCGCAUGGGGGUUGGUGGAAAGGGUUUUUCUGGUGGGGGAUGGGCUCGCGGCCUAUCAGCUUGUUGGUGGGGUGAUGGCCUACCAAGGCUUUGACGGGUAGCCGGCCUGAGAGGGUGACCGGUCACAUUGGGACUGAGAUACGGCCCAGACUCCUACGGGAGGCAGCAGUGGGGAAUAUUGCACAAUGGGCGCAAGCCUGAUGCAGCGACGCCGCGUGAGGGAUGGAGGCCUUCGGGUUGUGAACCUCUUUCGCUCAUGGUCAAGCCGCAACAAUGGUUGUGGUGAGGGUAGUGGGUAAAGAAGCGCCGGCUAACUACGUG